Molecule: long non-coding RNA, 750 nt
Filed under: Sus scrofa (pig)
Lineage: Eukaryota; Metazoa; Chordata; Mammalia; Artiodactyla; Suidae
Description: lncRNA (ENSSSCG00030028418.1)
Source: RNAcentral
AGGCUCCAGCUCUUCCCCCUGCUUAAUUUGGGCUUAAGGACAGAUGCCCUGAAUGUUGCAAACUCCACUUCUCUCACCUUCCAUUUCAUUCCACUGGAACACUCUACCACAUCACCCUGAGGUUCUGGACCAGGAGUCAUGCCCUUGUGACCUUGAGACUGCACUCAGGCAGCGUGCAGUGCAGCAGGGAGUCUUCUCCAGCCCCAUCAACUGGAUGAAAGCUUUCCUACAUGGCCCACAUUGUCCUCUGCUUCCCCUCCUGGUUUGCCUCUUUCUCAUCAGAGUUCUGCAGCUCCCAGAGUCUGUUCCAUACCCUCAGUCCAUAUCGGUGGAGAGCCUGCAUGGCCAUGACCUGGAAGGGAGUGGAAGGCAGCGAGCUCUGAUCCAAGGCACUCCCCAUCUUCCCUGGAUGGGCCUCUCACUUGUACACUGAGGCAUUCACAGGCAGGGAAACCCCUGCAGACUAAGAAGGAGGCUGGGCUCAAGAACUAGUGGGUCCAGAUUUUGGCAGAGGCAGGGAAGCUUCCAGGAAAGGGGCUCCUCGUUAACAGCUGUGUGGGAGAGGGAAUGUGUGUGGUAUGCUUAUAUUCCAUUUGUCUAAAUAUUGUUUGCAUGAGGUCAGAGACCUUAGGCUUUGUUCUGACUUUCUAUGAAUGCAUAAAAAACCACCCCCAAAUUUAAGUCACUUCAAGCAAUUUAUUAGUAUCUCUAAUAGUUCUUGAGCUGGCUGGGCUCAUGUGGGUGGUUCUU